RNAcentral lists this unclassified non-coding RNA (6585 nucleotides) under Camponotus floridanus (Florida carpenter ant). Its description in RNAcentral is "protein lap4, transcript variant X5". The record is from RNAcentral. Lineage: Eukaryota; Metazoa; Arthropoda; Insecta; Hymenoptera; Formicidae.
UACGUGCGUUCGCACUCGUUCGUGGUUGAUUCGCGUGGUUUUCGGGAGCAACGCGAACAACGUGAUCGUCGACGUGAUGACGUCAGAUCUCGAAGCAUAGGCCGAGAGUAACGCGAGUGUGUGUUUAAAGCCGAGGCCAGGCAGGGCGUGUGUGAAAUCGUGCGUCGUGCGUUCCUUCCUUCCGUCAUCGGAUGGAAGGUAUGUGCAAAUAACGGCGCGAGCGCGCGUCCGUUUGUCCGUCCGUCCCGUUUGUUCGUUCGUUCGUUCGUUGGUUGGUUGGUUCGUCGGUUGGUUUUUAUCCGCCGGGAUAGAAAUUAUGUACGGUGCUGUUUUAACGUGAUACGCGUGAAGACGGUGAAGAAUAGAAUAAAAAUAGUUAGAGUACCAUGUUCCGCUGCAUUCCGAUUUUUAAAGGGUGUAACAGGCAGGUGGAAUACGUUGACAAACGUCACUGCUCUCUGCCCUGCAUCCCCGACGACAUCCUGCGUUACUCCAGGAGUCUCGAGGAGCUUCUGCUGGACGCGAAUCACAUCCGCGAUCUGCCAAAGAACUUCUUUCGACUCCAGAGGCUGCGAAAGCUCGGCCUGAGCGACAAUGAAAUACACCGCUUGCCGCCGGACAUCCAGAACUUCGAGAACCUCGUCGAGCUGGACGUGUCCAGGAACGAUAUACCGGACAUUCCUGAGAACAUCAAAAAUUUACAGGCGCUACAGGUGGCGGACUUCAGCAGUAAUCCUAUUCCAAGGCUUCCAGCAGGAUUUGUACAGCUAAGGAAUUUAACUGUACUUGGACUUAACGAUAUGUCCCUUACAAACUUGCCACCUGAUUUUGGAAGUUUGGAGGCAUUGCAGUCGCUGGAAUUGAGGGAGAAUUUGCUCAAAUCCUUGCCCGAAUCGCUCUCACAGCUCUUCAAGCUCGAACGACUGGAUCUCGGUGAUAAUGAGAUCGAAGAAUUGCCUUCGCAUAUAGGAAAAUUACCAGCGCUACAAGAAUUGUGGCUCGAUCAUAAUCAGUUGCAACACUUGCCCCCUGAAAUAGGCGAGCUGAAAACGCUAGCGUGUUUAGACGUUUCGGAAAAUCGCUUGGAGGAUCUUCCUGAUGAAAUCGGCGGUCUCGAAUCGUUAACGGACUUGCACUUGUCGCAGAAUGUUAUCGAGAAAUUACCCGACGGACUUGGCGAACUGAAGAAAUUAACUAUCCUCAAAGUAGAUCAAAAUAGACUCUCUACAUUAAAUCCAAGUAUAGGAAAAUGCGAGAAUUUGCAGGAAUUGAUUCUUACAGAGAAUUUUCUCUUAGAGUUACCGGUAUCGAUAGGCAAACUUUGCAAUUUAAAUAAUUUGAAUGUCGAUAGAAAUAGUCUGCAAUUUCUACCGAUAGAAAUUGGAAAUUUGAAAAAGUUGGGUGUAUUGUCUUUAAGAGACAAUAAAUUACAAUAUCUUCCAGCUGAAGUGGGACAGUGCAGUGCCCUUCAUGUUUUAGAUGUAUCUGGCAACAGAUUACAUUAUUUACCAUAUUCUUUGAUCAAUCUGAAUCUGAAAGCGGUAUGGUUAAGCGAAAACCAGGCGCAACCAAUGUUAACGUUUCAAACAGAUGUUGACGAGGAAACGGGUCAAGAAGUAUUAACGUGUUUUCUUUUACCACAAUUGGAAUUCCAUCCUGAUGAUUCAGGUAGACUGGGAAUGUUGGUUGGUAUGAGAAACGUUCCAGGUGAGAUGCGUGAAUUGACAAGUAGUGACGAUGAAGGCUGGCAAGAAAGAGAAGCAUCAAGGACACAUUCAGUGAAAUUUACCGACGAACCACCAGAAGCUGAUAAAGAAACUCCAUUUGUACGUCAAAACACACCACAUCCAAAAGAGUUGAAAGCUAAAGCACACAAGUUAUUUAGCAAAGGGAAAAGUGAAAGUCGAUCAGAAUCUACAGAUGACCAGGAUGUUUCUCAAACAUUUGGAUUAGAUAAAACUGAACCAGAGACACUGACCAACACUGUAGAUAUGCCGCAAAGUGUUUCUGAACAAGAAGAACCUGUGGCAGAUACUGUACAAAAUAAUCAUAAAUUACCACUAACACCUGGUACCGAAUCAGAGAGUACAGAUAUUCAAAUUAAUAAAGAAAUAGAUGAGCCUCCUAUUCAGUAUGCUACAGAAUCUCAUUCGAAUGCAAAAGCUGAAAAUUCCAUCCCAGAAUCAAAAGAAAGAGAAGAGUAUGAGGAGGAAUCUGAAAACGAAGAUGUGCAAAGACACGUCGAAUUUAGUAUUGCAGAAGACGCUAAUAACGAGGAUAUUAGUGAGUCAAAUAAGCCCAAUAAACUUCAACGUAGAGACACUCCACAUCAUCUGAAAAAUAAACGCAUUCAUACGGCAAUUGACAAGGAAAAAGUUGCUUCCAUUAUAGCACAGGCACUUUUGAAAAAAUCUGAUGAAACUUCUACAUCUUUACCUUCACAAAUAGAGUCCACAGAAACCUUUGAUGCGCAUAAUCAAGAUGCGACGUCUGACAUUGAACCAGCACUGGAGAUACGGGAGGAGCAAUAUGAGAUUCAUAUAGAAAGAACGACAGGCGGAUUAGGUCUGUCAAUAGCUGGUGGUAUCGGAUCGACGCCUUUCAAAGGUGAAGACGAAGGCAUUUUCAUUUCAAGAGUUACUGAAGGUGGACCUGCGGACUUGGCUGGUUUGAGAGUAGGUGAUAAAGUGAUAUCCGUAAAUGGAGUAUCGGUAGUGAAUGUAGACCAUUACGAUGCCGUAGAAGUGUUAAAAGCGUGCGGACGUGUCCUUAUAUUAAAUAUUAUAAGGGAAGUUACGAGGAUAGUUCCACCCUACGAACAGGCACCGACGAGAAAAGAUUCCGUCUGCUCUAGUUUAAGCACAAGUAGAGCACCAAGUGCGACGUCUUACGUGUCAUCCACAGCGUUAUCGCAUACAUUAGAAAAUGGCGACGCAUCCGUGACCCAUGAAACUGCGAAGACAAAAAGGAUUCCCGAACCUAUAAAUUCUCUGAAGUCGAGUAGUGAACCUAUGGUGUCUGUUCUCUUUCAUACAACACUGAUACGAGACCAGAAUGGACUUGGAUUUAGUAUUGCCGGUGGGGAAGGUUCACCGCCAUUUAAAGAUAAUAGUGAUGCCAUAUUUAUCUCGAGAAUAACGGACGGUGGAGUUGCCCAAAAGGAUGGCAAAUUAUUAGUCGGAGACAAAGUAAUAUCUAUUAAUGGAGUAGAUAUGAGGGGAGCUAAACAUGAACAAGCUGUGGCUCUACUCACCGGUUUGGAAAGAUUUGUUCGACUAGUGGUCGAAAGGGAAAUACCGCUUUCUCAAGCAAAUCCCGCCUCCACCGUGGUAACUCCAUCGGAAAAAUCGCCGCGUGUUAUAGGUGCGCCGAAACCUUACACAGGCCUGUACAAUGCCAAUAGUUACAUGGCGAAUAGAUCUGGAUACGCCGGAUAUCGUCGUUCCAUGGACGCCGAUAAGGCACUGUCGCCAAGUCCCACUUCGAAGACGCCCCCGCCGACAUUACCUGCCAAGUCCGAUCAAGUCGUCGAAGAAAUGCCUAAGAUGAACGGCGUGAGUGAUUCGGGGAAGAACGUUUCGCCAACGUCCUAUGGCCCGAUUAAUCAAGCAUCGUAUCCGCAACCGGCUCCGAGGCAUAGCGUCACGCAGAUGACGUCACCUACCGUGAAUAAUAUCACCGGUUCCGCGACUACGACUACUCCCGCCUCUCAUGUAGAGCCUAGACCGGAUGAGACUGCCCAAGAGGAUAUACAGGUACCGAAGCCUAUCACCAACGAGGAAUUUCAAGCUAUGAUCCCCGCUCAUUUCCUUCGUCCUCCAACAUCCUCGCCUUCGCCAGACUCCCAUCAAGGCCCCAUUGUGACGGUGACGAUAAAGCAGCCUGAUACAUUGCCCGGGGAUGUUAGCUUCCCUCCAGCUCCCACUACACUCGGUAAAGUUACUGAGACCAUCACAAAGAGUACGCUCACCGAGACCGUCGUAACUAGGGUGACUGACAACCAGUUGGUACAACCGCUCAUUAUCGAGGACGUUAUCCUUGUGAAAGAAGGCUCACUGGGCUUCAGCAUCAUAGGAGGAACCGAUCACUCGUGUACGCCAUUUGGUACAAAAGAACCAGGGAUUUUUAUAUCUCAUGUUGUUCCUGGCGGCAUAGCUGCCAAGUCGGGUAAACUGAGGAUGGGUGAUAGGAUAUUAAAGGUGAAUGGUACGGAUGUGACAAAGGCCACGCAUCAGGAAGCGGUGAUGGAACUUUUAAGACCCGGGGACCAGAUUGUGCUCACUAUCCAACAUGAUCCGCUUCCGGAAAAUUAUCAGCUGGUCGAAAUAGAGUACAUCCCUGUGACAGAACUAGUGAUAACGAAGGAAGCAGGUGAAAAGCUUGGUAUGCACAUUAAGGGAGGUCGAAGAGGACAGAAGGGCAAUCCUCUCGAUCACACCGACGAAGGCGUUUUUAUAUCAAAAAUUAAUUCAGGCGGUGCAGCCAAGAGAGACGGACGAUUGAAGGUUGGAAUGAGGUUACUGGAAGUCAAUGGCACAUCGUUAUUAGGUGCGACUCAUCAAGAAGCUGUAAACAUCCUUCGGUGUUCAGGGAAUACGAUCACAUUGGUUGUGUGUAAGGGUUAUGACAAAAGUGACAUGGAACCGAUAUUAACAUUAUCAUCUGACAAUGGAGGUUCUAAGGAAGCUAAAGUGUCUAACGAAUCGAGGGAUCCACCCGCGGACGGUACUAAAUCGUUGUCGCAAAGUGUAUCCAGUUUAGAUCGAGACGAUGAGGAAGCUGCGAUUCUUAGGCAAGAGCAAGAAAUGAAAGCUGAACUCGUCGCUUGGGAACAAGAGGAACGAGAGCGAGCGCUUGUAGAACAGAGAGAAAAAUCUACACCCGAAAAAGUAAUGGAUGUUGUACGAGCAGCAGAAUCAUUAGUAAGCAAAUCGAAUAGCCCUGUCGACAUGGUACCACCAAAAUCACCCGGAGGUACCAAAGAUCUCAAAACCACGACGAUUGUUAUGAGUAAACACACACUAGCACCUCAGAAUCCUAAUAAUUCAAGAACGAAUGAGAUCUCUGGAAUGUCAACGGACUCUCCGUCUUCGUCGAAAUCAGCCACCCUUCCUAAGGCAGCCAGUUUCGAACGCUCUACUUCUAUGCACACUUUACCCUCUCCGACGAAAAAAAAAUCACUGUCUAAACGUAGCAUCACGUUUGCCGAUCUGCCGCCGAUCUCAAAAAAGAGCUCGAAUCUUAAGCCAUCCCAUGUCAAACCCACGUUGUCCGCAAUCAACGUUGUCGAGCAUCCAGUUCGGCAUCCUACGUCCACCCUUUCUCCGCGAACCAUCACAUCCUACGAAACACCCCAUGUACAGCACGCACGUUUCCGGCUUCCCCCGACACCUCUAACCGCCCCCGAAUGCUGGGGAGAUCUUGACACCUCGGCUUCUCUUAGCAAGCGACAGAUAGCACGUUCUGUUGAUGGGAAUUUUCAGGUUGAGCAAUCUCCAACUUCUUCUCCGACGCCACCAUUGACAAAAAUGUCAGUCAGCGAUAAAAAGAAGCUCUUUGAAAGUGCCAUGGAAGAACACUUGAAACCAUCACCUAAACCAGAUAAAAUAUUCAGUUUUUUAAGUCAGGACGAGGUAGAAAAAAUGAGACAAGAAGAAGAGAAAAAGAUUGCAACUUUAACGCGAGACGAAUUGAAAUCAUGGGCACAACUUGAUGAAAAUGAAGGCCUCGAAGAUCUGGAUCUCACGACGGACGAUCAGAAUAAUGGACGACCUAAUAGCCGACUGAGCUCGCGAACUUCGAUCCCUCUUAUCCAGAAUGUUCCCAGCAGCGUGAGGACAGCAAAAGCGGAACGUCGUUUGAAAGAACGAUUAAUUCAAGAGGGCCUUAUCUCGGACGAGGACGAGGAACAUCUUCUGAGCCCCGCAGAACAACGAGCGCUUAGAGCUGAGAAACGUGCCGCUUGGCGACAAGCUCGCCUUAAAUCUCUCGAGCAGGAUGCGCUCCAGGCACAGAUGGUGAUAAAAAAAAUGAGUGAAAUAAUGGACUCUAAUAAAAGCGAAGAUACACGCGAUGCGACUGAUAUAAUUGAUCCUGCUUCCGAUCAAGAGAAGACUGUCGAAUUCGCUACAUUACGGCCUUCUAGCGCGGAUUUUCCUAAACUCGCCGUGCGCAGUAAAGUGGGUCCCCCUAAAGAGAUACGCGAAUCUGAGAAAGUCGUGGACGAGAAGGUCACUCGGCGUACCGAGGAAUAUCUAGACGAGGUGACGGGUGAACGUCGUGUACGAACUGUCGAGUACGUCGAGAAGCUCAUUGAGCGUCAGAGUCCAUCGCUUACAUCGAUGGUACGUUACGCACCACCUUGAACUACGAAUGUCACUUCUACUGAUCUAACUAACAACCUUUACCUGAAUUUUAUUGGUGGAGACUCUGAGGGAGAAGAUUAUAUCUUUGGAAUUAAGUAACGCGGAGGACGAUGUGGAAAGUGCGAGCGAUGCCGGCAGCGAGAGCGAAGACACUGCAAUGGGACAAAAUAUCGCCGAUAGUACCGCGGUGGGAAAACCAGAUUCUCAUGUCACAACCGAC